Molecule: ribosomal RNA, 253 nt
Filed under: uncultured bacterium
Lineage: Bacteria
Description: partial 16S ribosomal RNA
Rfam family: Bacterial small subunit ribosomal RNA
Source: RNAcentral
UACGGAGGGUGCAAGCGUUAUCCGGAUUCACUGGGUUUAAAGGGUGCGUAGGCGGGCAGGUAAGUCAGUGGUGAAAUCCCCAGGCUCAACUUGGGAACUGCCGUUGAUACUAUCUGUCUUGAAUAUCGUGGAGGUGAGCGGAAUAUGUCAUGUAGCGGUGAAAUGCUUAGAUAUGACAUAGAACACCCAUUGCGAAGGCAGCUCACUACACGGUAAUUGACGCUGAGGCACGAAAGCGUGGGGAGCAAACAGG